RNAcentral lists this transfer RNA (75 nucleotides) under Alphaproteobacteria bacterium. RNAcentral describes it as "tRNA-Thr". It matches the Rfam family "tRNA". From Rfam's summary of the family: Transfer RNA (tRNA) molecules are approximately 80 nucleotides in length. The record is from RNAcentral. RNAcentral also lists the same sequence under 1 other name. Lineage: Bacteria; Pseudomonadati; Pseudomonadota; Alphaproteobacteria.
GCUGCCGUAGCUCAGUGGUAGAGCACUCCCUUGGUAAGGGAGAGGUCGUCAGUUCAAUCCUGCCCGGCAGCACCA